ACCCGCACAAGCAGCGGAGCAUGUGGUUUAAUUCGAAGCAACGCGAAGAACCUUACCAGAUCUUGACAUCCAAUUGACCAUCUUUUAAUCGAGAUUUUGCCUUCGGGUACAAUUGAGACAGGUGGUGCAUGGUUGUCGUCAGCUCGUGUCGUGAGAUGUUGGGUUAAGUCCCGCAACGAGCGCAACCCUUGUGUUUAGUUGCAAACAGGUCAAGCUGUGCACUCUAGACAGACUGCCGUGGACAACACGGAGGAAGGUGGGGAUGACGUCAAAUCAUCAUGCCCCUUAUGAUCUGGGCUACACACGUGCUACAAUGGCCGGUACAACGGGCAGCGAAGGAGCGAUCCGGAGCGAAUCCUAAAAAGCCGGUCCCAGUUCGGAUUGCAGGCUGAAACUCGCCUACAUGAAGUUGGAGUUGCUAGUAACUUCGCCGAAUCCAGAAUGUACGUACGGUAGUAAUGCGUUCCCGGGUCGUU
RNAcentral lists this ribosomal RNA (476 nucleotides) under uncultured Fusibacter sp. RNAcentral's name for it is "bacterial SSU rRNA". It matches the Rfam family "Bacterial small subunit ribosomal RNA", at positions 919 to 1382 of the family's 1533-position model. Lineage: Bacteria; Bacillati; Bacillota; Clostridia; Eubacteriales; Fusibacteraceae. The record is from RNAcentral.